RNAcentral lists this ribosomal RNA (450 nucleotides) under uncultured Glomeromycotina. Its description in RNAcentral is "SSU rRNA". It matches the Rfam family "Eukaryotic small subunit ribosomal RNA", at positions 569 to 1023 of the family's 1831-position model. Lineage: Eukaryota; Fungi; Glomeromycota. The record is from RNAcentral.
AGCAGCCGCGGUAAUUCCAGCUCCAAUAGCGUAUAUUAAAGUUGUUGCAGUUAAAAAGCUCGUAGUUGAAUUUCGGGAUCAGUACGCUGGUCGUGCCUUUGGUAUGUACUGGUGUCACUGAUUCCUCCCUUCUGAAGAACCGUUAUGCCAUUUAUUUGGUGUGGCGGGAAAUCAGGACUGUUACUUUGAAAAAAUUAGAGUGUUUAAAGCAGGCUCGCGCUUGAAUACAUUAGCAUGGAAUAAUGAAAUAGGACGUUUGAUCUUAUUUUGUUGGUUUCUAGGAUCGACGUAAUGAUUGAUAGGGAUAGUUGGGGGCAUUAGUAUUCAAUUGUCAGAGGUGAAAUUCUUGGAUUUAUUGAAGACUAACUACUGCGAAAGCAUUUGCCAAGGAUGUUUUCAUUAAUCAAGAACGAAAGUUAGGGGAUCGAAGACGAUCAGAUACCGUCGUAG